ACAGUCACACGUAGUUUGAUCAUGGCUCAAGACGAACGCUGGCGGCAUGCCUAACACAUGCAAGUCGAACGAGACCUUCGGGUCUAGUGGCGCACGGGUGCGUAACGCGUGGGAAUCUGCCCUUCGGUUCGGAAAUAACUCAGGGAAACUUGAGCUAAUACCGGAUAAUGACGUAAGUCCAAAGAUUUAUCGCCGAAGGAUGAGCCCGCGUAGGAUUAGCUUGUUGGUGGGUAAUGGCCCACCAAGGCGACGAUCCUUAGCUGGUCUGAGAGGAUGAUCAGCCACACUGGGACUGAGACACGGCCCAGACUCCGUACGGGAGGCAGCAGUGGGGAAUAUUGGACAAUGGGCGAAAGCCUGAUCCAGCAAUGCCGCGUGAGUGAUGAAGGCCUUCGGGUUGUAAAGCUCUGUCGGGAGGGACGAAGUUCUGACGGUACCUCCCAAGAAAGCGCCGGCUAACUCCGUG
Molecule: ribosomal RNA, 466 nt
Filed under: uncultured bacterium
Lineage: Bacteria
Description: bacterial SSU rRNA
Rfam family: Bacterial small subunit ribosomal RNA
Source: RNAcentral